CAGCCGCCGCGGUAAUACGAAGGGGGCUAGCGUUGUUCGGAUUUACUGGGCGUAAAGCGCACGUAGGCGGAUAUUUAAGUCAGGGGUGAAAUCCUGGAGCUCAACUCCAGAACUGCCUUUGAUACUGGGUAUCUAGAGUCCGGAAGAGGUGAGUGGAACUCCUAGUGUAGAGGUGGAAUUCGUAGAUAUUAGGAAGAACACCAGUGGCGAAGGCGGCUCACUGGUCCGGUACUGACGCUGAGGUGCGAAAGCGUGGGGAGCAAACAGGAUUAGAUACCCCAGUAGUCCCUGUCUCUUAUAC
This 301-nucleotide ribosomal RNA is filed under the name uncultured bacterium. RNAcentral's name for it is "partial 16S ribosomal RNA". It matches the Rfam family "Bacterial small subunit ribosomal RNA", at positions 509 to 807 of the family's 1533-position model. The record is from RNAcentral.